RNAcentral lists this long non-coding RNA (358 nucleotides) under Medicago truncatula (barrel medic). RNAcentral describes it as "long non-coding RNA (MTRU_LNC003293)". The record is from RNAcentral. Lineage: Eukaryota; Viridiplantae; Streptophyta; Magnoliopsida; Fabales; Fabaceae.
GCAAUAACCAGAGGAGUAAGAGAAGCCCCGGGACCGGUGAAAGGCGUCUUCUCGGUUAUAGGUGAAUCCAAUAAGUGGGAAUAAGCCUCAAGAGUAGGGACCAACUGGAAAUCCGGGAAAGUGAAGCAGCGGAAACUCGGGUCAUAGAAUUGCACUAGAGUGUGCACGAGCUUCUCUUCAACAUUAGUCCGGAGAAUAGUAAGCAAACCACCAUACCGGAGUCGGAAACCCGUUUGAUUCUUCACCUUGAGUGCCAACUCUCUCAAACUAACCAAAUCAACCUCCUUGAACUUGUAGGAUUUAGUCUUCUUCAUACCUGUAAUGUUUACAAAGUUUUUAAUUUGUACAAUCCUUCGAU